Molecule: long non-coding RNA, 1331 nt
Organism: Salvia miltiorrhiza (redroot sage)
Lineage: Eukaryota; Viridiplantae; Streptophyta; Magnoliopsida; Lamiales; Lamiaceae
Exons: 2
Source: RefSeq, a predicted model, not a curated record
UCUUCUUCUCUUCCUUUUCUAUAGUACUAAUAUAGUAACUAAAUAUAUAGAUAUUGCUGAGUUUUGAGGGUGUUUUUUUGCAGAAAUUGGAUCUGUUCAAUAGAAGGAUUUGAUCAAUCUUUCAUUUUUGAUGAGAUGUGGGUGUUUAUAAACACCGUUUUCAAAUCACACAAGCGAGGUAAACUACGCUAAGCCGUCGAGGAAUUGGAGGGAUUUUACAUACAUAUAUGAGAUUAAAAGCCCUAAAAAUUAAAGAAGAGAUCUUUAGAAAAAGCCCUAAUUGAGUUUCAAGAAGAAGGUAUGAUGAGCUAUAACUCUUCUGGUUUUUAGAUCAUGAUGUUUGUAUCUAUCUCAAAUUUGUUUAUAUAUUCAUAACAAAAACAGUUGCUUCUGCCCAUUUCUUGCAGCAGGAAAUUUUGACUAAUUCUGUGAUGGGAGUUGGUGCCAUGUUGCCAUCUUCUUCUGGUUCAAUCUUGUUUAAUGAUUUGAAUUUUCAUUUUUUCUUUUUUCUCUCUCUACUUCACUGUAAAAAAACAAACAAUAUAGUCUCUAGAUUUUUCAGAAAGUCUCAAUCAUGAAGUUUACAAUAUAUGUCCAAGUUUAUUACAUGUAUUAACUAAAACAAUCAGUCAUUUUCAUCACUUCAUGAUUUUUGUUUAAAGAGUGGGGGCUCCUUUGCACUAGAUGUCUUAAUUUCAUUUAAUUACUCAACUAAUUCUUUAAUCAUCAAAAUUCUUGCCUCCACUAUUUGUGGAUGAAAUUGAUAUGAUUAAUGUUGUACAUCUUUCCCUUUUAUAUAUGUUGGGUUUUCUCUCUUUAAUUAUUUUUGGAUCUCAAAUAGAUGCAUGUUCAAUAUAACACAUCAUUUAUAAAUUUCAGUUUUUAAUCAUUAAUUAAUCUUUGUUGUGUAGUACUAAAGAUUAUGUGUGUGUGUUUGUUUUUGUGAGAAACUUGCAGCUGAUCAUCUCAACGACGUCGAACUGUAUAAUUUGCACAAGCAUGUUCAAGCCCUGGAUUUAGACAAGAUCCAUUUGAUGCUCUUGAAUUCUUGGUUUUGUCAUCAAAUGGAAGAAUUAAUUUUAAUUUUUAGCAUAUUUUAAUGGAUAUUGAAGAAUCCCAAGGACAAUCUUAUUUCAAGAGAAAGGGACCUAGCUAGGUUAAUUUUAUUGAUGAACAAUCUUAGAUCAAUUGUUUUUAAUUACAUUGUAAAAUCAAUGGUAUCUAGUCUUUGUUUCCACAUAUAACUAUAUAUCUCCUAUAUUUCUUUGUAUAUUGUAUCAUGAUGGAGUGUAAUUUGAGAUGGUGAAUAUAUGGAUUUAGGAGUUAAUUAA